This 295-nucleotide ribosomal RNA is filed under the name uncultured bacterium. Its description in RNAcentral is "partial 16S ribosomal RNA". It matches the Rfam family "Bacterial small subunit ribosomal RNA", at positions 29 to 335 of the family's 1533-position model. The record is from RNAcentral.
AACGAACGCUGGCGGCAUGCCUAACACAUGCAAGUCGAACGAGACCUUCGGUCUAGUGGCGCACGGGUGCGUAACGCGUGGGUAACCUGCCUUGUACUGGGGGACAACAGUUAGAAAUGACUGCUAAUACCGCAUAAGCGCACAGUAUCGCAUGAUACAGUGUGAAAAACUCCGGUGGUACAAGAUGGACCCGCGUCUGAUUAGCUAGUUGGUAAGGUAACGGCUUACCAAGGCGACGAUCAGUAGCCGACCUGAGAGGGUGACCGGCCACAUUGGGACUGAGACACGGCCCAAA